Molecule: ribosomal RNA, 253 nt
Filed under: uncultured bacterium
Lineage: Bacteria
Description: partial 16S ribosomal RNA
Rfam family: Bacterial small subunit ribosomal RNA
Source: RNAcentral
UACGAAGGGGGCUAGCGUUGCUCGGAAUCACUGGGCGUAAAGGGCGCGUAGGCGGACUUUUAAGUCGGGGGUGAAAGCCCAGGGCUCAACCCUGGAAUUGCCUUCGAUACUGGGAGUCUUGAGUUCGGAAGAGGUUGGUGGAACUGCGAGUGUAGAGGUGAAAUUCGUAGAUAUUCGCAAGAACACCGGUGGCGAAGGCGGCCAACUGGUCCGAAACUGACGCUGAGGCGCGAAAGCGUGGGGAGCAAACAGG